Molecule: ribosomal RNA, 472 nt
Filed under: uncultured beta proteobacterium
Lineage: Bacteria; Pseudomonadati; Pseudomonadota; Betaproteobacteria
Description: bacterial SSU rRNA
Rfam family: Bacterial small subunit ribosomal RNA
Source: RNAcentral
GGAGGAAAGCAGGGGAUCGCAAGACCUUGCGCUCAUUGAGCGGCCGAUGCCUGAUUAGCUAGUUGGUGAGGUAAAGGCUUACCAAGGCGACGAUCAGUAGCUGGUCUGAGAGGACGGCCAGCCACACUGGGACUGAGACACGGCCCAGACUCCUACGGGAGGCAGCAGUGGGGAAUUUUGGACAAUGGGGGAAUCCCUGAUCCAGCCAUGCCGCGUGAGUGAAGAAGGCCUUCGGGUUGUAAAGCUCUUUCAGCCGGAACGAAACGGUCACGGCUAAUACCUGUGACUACUGACGGUACCGGAAGAAGAAGCACCGGCUAACUACGUGCCAGCAGCCGCGGUAAUACGUAGGGUGCGAGCGUUAAUCGGAAUUACUGGGCGUAAAGCGUGCGCAGGCGGUUUUGUAAGUCAGAAGAGGAAAUCCCCGGGCUUAACCUGGGAACUGCGUUGUUAUAAGAGAGGCUAGAAGGGC